UCUCACUCUUAUUAGGUUUAUGUUUCCUGGUUACUUUGAUUGCUCCUCCUCCGGCAACCCUACAGAAAAGCAAACGUAUGCAGCGGCGCAAGAUUUAUCUCUAACUUCCCCCUGUUUUUUUUCUCUCAACUGAAAACCUCUCAUUUCCUUCAAACCAAAUCAAGAAACACUGUUAACUACUGAGAUCGAAAAGAAAUUUCAUCGACAAAGCUAUAUAAGGAUCAAAAAUGAAAACUUUAAGGGCUGAUUGAAGUAGAAGAAGAUGGUGUUUUUCAUUACUUACAGAUCCCAAUAGAUUUUAGUUUUAUUAAUUGUUGUUUUCUUUGUGUAGAUUCAUAAGUUUGUUUGAAGUUUCAUCAACUAAAGAAGAAGAAUCCUUAACCUGGGUUCCUUUUGGGUUCUGUUGAUACUUGAUAUUGGAUGCAGAGCUUCCCCAAGUAUUGAGAGGAUCAAUUUAUGAUGAUCAAAUCACUCCCGAACUGUAUCAAAGGAUAUCUCCAAUAAUCCAUGUGGAAGGCAAAGAUGUCAUUACCGUUUCUUGUUCUCCAAUGAAUUCUAGUUUUGAACUCGUAGUCAUCUUUUGAGGUUACUGGCAAAGCAGUUCUGUGAGGGGUACUUCUGGGGUGCCGAAACAAUCCCAAGCACAACAGGCUGAAGCUAAAUGUUAUUCUUCCAACAAUCGUAUGUGAUUAAGAGCAGGAGCUAAUCCAAGUUUUACUUCGCAGGGGACUGAAGCUAUUAUCAACUCUAUCAAUGGCUCUCAAUGUAGUGUUAAUUAAGUGGAGUACCAUUCCUGUAACAACAGAUUGUAUACUUUAUUCAAGUCUUUAUCGGUUCUUACACUUAUAAGGUUGUUAACAGGUCUUGUAACUGUAUGGCCGAUAUACUUGCCAAAACUUGUGACAUUUGUGCCAAGUCUCGAGUCCUGGAUGAAUGGCCUUACGGCAUUUUGCUUAUGCAGUAAUAAGCUACCCUCUUGAAUAAAAAGUGCUUUGAUG
Papaver somniferum (opium poppy) is the source of this 998-nucleotide long non-coding RNA. RefSeq lists it as uncharacterized. The transcript is spliced from 3 exons. NCBI's taxonomy places the organism in Eukaryota, Viridiplantae, Streptophyta, Magnoliopsida, Ranunculales, Papaveraceae. The record is from RefSeq and is a predicted model, not a curated record.